ACCAAUGAAUUCGUCCUGGUGUAUCUCGAUGAUAUCUUGGUUUUCUCCAAGAAUAAGAACGAUCAUGCCAAACAUUUGCGAUUGGUGCUCGACAAGCUCAGAGAGUAUCAAUUCUAUGCGAAGUUCUCCAAAUGUGAGUUUUGGCUCGAUGAAGUUCUUUACCUUGUUCAUAUCAUCUCUGUCAAGGGCAUCGCUGUUAAUCCCGAGAAGGUGUCCGCAAUUGUGAAUUGGGAACCUCCUCAGAAUGCCAAGCAGCUCCGCAGUUUUCUUGGUAUUGCAAGCUAUUGCCGAAGAUUCGUUGAGAAUUUCUCUAAGAUUGCAAAGCCUCUUUCCAACCUCCUCCAAAAGCAUGUGAAGUAUGUCUGGUCUCCUGAGUGUGACGUUGCUUUCAACACUCUCAAAUAG
RNAcentral lists this ribosomal RNA (405 nucleotides) under Triticum aestivum (bread wheat). RNAcentral's name for it is "partial small subunit ribosomal RNA". Lineage: Eukaryota; Viridiplantae; Streptophyta; Magnoliopsida; Poales; Poaceae. The record is from RNAcentral.